CCUACGGGGGGCAGCAGUGGGGAAUAUUGGACAAUGGGGGAACCCUGAUCCAGCCAUGCCGCGGGGGUGGAGAAGGCCCCCGGGUUGUAAAGCACUUUCAGUGAGGGAGAACGGCUGGUGGUUAAAACCCAUCAGGAAAGACAACACUCACAGAAGGAGCACCGGCUAACUCCGUGCCAGCAGCCGCGGUAAUACGGAGGGUGCGAGCGUUAAUCGGAAUUACUGGGCGUAAAGCGCGCGUAGGUGGCUUGAUAAGCCGGUUGUGAAAGCCCCGGGCUCAACCUGGGAACGGCAUCCGGAACUGUCAAGCUAGAGUGCAGGAGAGGAAGGUAGAAUUCCCGGUGUAGCGGUGAAAUGCGUAGAGAUCGGGAGGAAUACCAGUGGCGAAGGCGGCCUUCUGGACUGACACUGACACUGAGGUGCGAAAGCGUGGGUAGCAAACAGGAUUAGAUACCCGAGUAGUC
This 464-nucleotide ribosomal RNA is filed under the name Vreelandella stevensii. RNAcentral's name for it is "partial 16S ribosomal RNA". It matches the Rfam family "Bacterial small subunit ribosomal RNA", at positions 338 to 795 of the family's 1533-position model. The record is from RNAcentral. Lineage: Bacteria; Pseudomonadati; Pseudomonadota; Gammaproteobacteria; Oceanospirillales; Halomonadaceae.